RNAcentral lists this ribosomal RNA (2031 nucleotides) under Bacillus pumilus. Its description in RNAcentral is "partial 23S ribosomal RNA". It matches the Rfam family "Bacterial large subunit ribosomal RNA", at positions 1 to 2023 of the family's 2925-position model. The record is from RNAcentral. Lineage: Bacteria; Bacillati; Bacillota; Bacilli; Caryophanales; Bacillaceae.
AUGGUUAAGUUAGAAAGGGCGCACGGUGGAUGCCUUGGCACUAGGAGCCGAUGAAGGACGGGACGAACACCGAUAUGCUUCGGGGAGCUGUAAGCAAGCUUUGAUCCGGAGAUUUCCGAAUGGGGAAACCCACUGCUCGUAAUGGAGUAGUAUCCAUACUUGAAUACAUAGAGUAUGAGAAGGCAUACCCGGGGAACUGAAACAUCUAAGUACCCGGAGGAAGAGAAAGCAAAUGCGAUUCCCUGAGUAGCGGCGAGCGAAACGGGAACAGCCCAAACCAAGAGGCUUGCCUCUUGGGGUUGUAGGACACUCUAUACGGAGUUACAAAGGAACGAUAUAAGCGAAGAGGUCUGGAAAGGCCCGCCAAAGAAGGUAACAGCCCUGUAACUGAAAUGUUGUUCUCUCCAGAGUGGAUCCUGAGUACGGCGGAACACGUGAAAUUCCGUCGGAAUCCGGGAGGACCAUCUCCCAAGGCUAAAUACUCCCUAGUGACCGAUAGUGAACCAGUACCGUGAGGGAAAGGUGAAAAGCACCCCGGAAGGGGAGUGAAAUAGAUCCUGAAACCGUGUGCCUACAAGUAGUCAGAGCCCGUUAAAGGGUGAUGGCGUGCCUUUUGUAGAAUGAACCGGCGAGUUACGAUCCCGUGCAAGGUUAAGCAGAAGAUGCGGAGCCGCAGCGAAAGCGAGUCUGAAUAGGGCGCAUGAGUACGUGGUCGUAGACCCGAAACCAGGUGAUCUACCCAUGUCCAGGGUGAAGUUCAGGUAACACUGAAUGGAGGCCCGAACCCACGCACGUUGAAAAGUGCGGGGAUGAGGUGUGGGUAGGGGUGAAAUGCCAAUCGAACCUGGAGAUAGCUGGUUCUCUCCGAAAUAGCUUUAGGGCUAGCCUCAAGGUAAGAGUCUCGGAGGUAGAGCACUGAUUGGACUAGGGGCCCCUACCGGGUUACCGAAUUCAGUCAAACUCCGAAUGCCGAUGACUUAUCCUUGGGAGUCAGACUGCGAGUGAUAAGAUCCGUAGUCGAAAGGGAAACAGCCCAGACCGCCAGCUAAGGUCCCAAAGUAUACGUUAAGUGGAAAAGGAUGUGGAGUUGCUUAGACAACCAGGAUGUUGGCUUAGAAGCAGCCACCAUUUAAAGAGUGCGUAAUAGCUCACUGGUCGAGUGACUCUGCGCCGAAAAUGUACCGGGGCUAAACGUAUCACCGAAGCUGCGGACUGUUCUAACGAACAGUGGUAGGAGAGCGUUCUAAGUGCUGUGAAGUCAGACCGGAAGGACUGGUGGAGCGCUUAGAAGUGAGAAUGCCGGUAUGAGUAGCGAAAGACGGGUGAGAAUCCCGUCCACCGAAUGCCUAAGGUUUCCUGAGGAAGGCUCGUCCGCUCAGGGUUAGUCGGGACCUAAGCCGAGGCCGAAAGGCGUAGGCGAUGGACAACAGGUUGAUAUUCCUGUACCACCUCCUCACCAUUUGAGCAAUGGGGGGACGCAGGAGGAUAGGGUAAGCGCGGUAUUGGAUAUCCGCGUCCAAGCAGUUAGGCUGGGAAAUAGGCAAAUCCGUUUCCCGUGAAGGCUGAGCUGUGAUGGCGAGCGAAAUUUAGUAGCGAAGUUCCUGAUUCCACACUGCCAAGAAAAGCCUCUAGCGAGGUGAGAGGUGCCCGUACCGCAAACCGACACAGGUAGGCGAGGAGAGAAUCCUAAGGUGAUCGAGAGAACUCUCGUUAAGGAACUCGGCAAAAUGACCCCGUAACUUCGGGAGAAGGGGUGCUUCUUAGGGUGUUAAAGCCCCGAGAAGCCGCAGUGAAUAGGCCCAGGCGACUGUUUAGCAAAAACACAGGUCUCUGCGAAGCCGUAAGGCGAAGUAUAGGGGCUGACGCCUGCCCGGUGCUGGAAGGUUAAGAGGAGCGCUUAGCGUAAGCGAAGGUGCGAAUUGAAGCCCCAGUAAACGGCGGCCGUAACUAUAACGGUCCUAAGGUAGCGAAAUUCCUUGUCGGGUAAGUUCCGACCCGCACGAAAGGCGCAACGAUCUGGGCACUGUCUCA